This 484-nucleotide ribosomal RNA is filed under the name uncultured bacterium. RNAcentral describes it as "partial 16S ribosomal RNA". It matches the Rfam family "Bacterial small subunit ribosomal RNA", at positions 30 to 507 of the family's 1533-position model. The record is from RNAcentral.
AUUGAACGCUGGCGGAAUGCUUUACACAUGCAAGUCGAACUGCAGCACGGGGGCAGCCCUGGUGGCGAGUGGCGAACGGGUGAGUAAUACAUCGGAACGUGCCCGGUCGUGGGGGAUAACGUAGCGAAAGUUACGCUAAUACCGCAUACGAUCUGAGGAUGAAAGCGGGGGACCUUCGGGCCUCGCGCGAUCGGAGCGGCCGAUGUCAGAUUAGGUAGUUGGUGGGGUAAAGGCCUACCAAGCCGACGAUCUGUAGCUGGUCUGAGAGGACGACCAGCCACACUGGGACUGAGACACGGCCCAGACUCCUACGGGAGGCAGCAGUGGGGAAUUUUGGACAAUGGGCGCAAGCCUGAUCCAGCCAUUCCGCGUGCAGGACGAAGGCCUUCGGGUUGUAAACUGCUUUUGUACGGAACGAAAAGGCUCUGGCUAAUACCUGGGGCUCAUGACGGUACCGUAAGAAUAAGCACCGGCUAACUACGUG